This 313-nucleotide ribosomal RNA is filed under the name uncultured bacterium. Its description in RNAcentral is "bacterial SSU rRNA". It matches the Rfam family "Bacterial small subunit ribosomal RNA", at positions 28 to 342 of the family's 1533-position model. The record is from RNAcentral.
GAUGAACGCUAGCGGCAGGCCUAAUACAUGCAAGUCGAACGGUAAGGCCCUUUCGGGGUACACGAGUGGCGGACGGGUGCGUAACGCGUAUGCAACAUGCCUUCCAGCGGGGGAUAUACCAGGGAAACUUGGCGCAAUACCCCAUAGAAUUACGGGACCGCAUGGUCUUGUGAUUAAAAACUCCGGUGCUGGGAGAUUGGCAUGCGUGACAUUAGCUAGUUGGCGGGGUAACGGCCCACCAAGGCGACGAUGUCUAGCUGGUCUGAGAGGAUGAUCAGCCACACUGGGACUGAGACACGGCCCAGACUCCUAC